This is a long non-coding RNA of Macrobrachium nipponense, 875 nucleotides long. RefSeq lists it as uncharacterized. The transcript is spliced from 3 exons. Lineage: Eukaryota; Metazoa; Arthropoda; Malacostraca; Decapoda; Palaemonidae. The record is from RefSeq and is a predicted model, not a curated record.
CAGCAAAGAGAGGCCGUUCCAUAGUUACGCUCAAUCAAUUACUACUACUAAUGGCAACCACUACCACCGUAGCAUUACCGCUACUAUUGAUAUUGGUGCCCAUCGCGGUCACGAUGUGUCAAAGGUGGUGAAAUUUCGAUGCCAGAACACCAUUAAUAUUACCUACUAAUAUCUAGCUAAGGAAGUGGAAAAACUUAUUGGUAAAGUUAUUCUACGAAAUAAACAUAGGGGAGCACCUGCAAUUUGGGAACUAUACUAAGGUACAUACCCUACUGUACGCUGAAAUGACAGGCACUACUAGUAUAAGAUAUUCAAGCUUAUGAAUUUUAGAAAGUGUUGAAGUAUAAACAUCCAUGGCUUCGAAAGAUCAGUAUAAUAAGGAAGACAAAUACUUUACCUGUGAAAUAUGCGGCCUCUCAGAAAUCUAUCAUUACUAUGGAUGCAAGCCCCCAUUUCAUAAGGGCGUUACUUUCUUGGAGGAUUGUUACUUGUUGCGUGAUCCAUUCCAGAGUGGAGGUGUAGAGUCGUUCUUGCUCCUUGGGUCAUCUUGCUCUGUUUGCAAACGUGUUGUGUGCCAGUCAAGUUCUUGCAGCAUCUUCUAUACUAAAAGAUUCUGCGUCAGUUGUGUUGCUUCCCUCCCUAAGGAAUUUCCACCAGAAGUGCAGAAACGAACCAAAUCGUAGGAAGAUGAUGGUCUUGACCUUUUCAUAUCUGCACAAAUUGAGAAUAUUUUAAGCUUUCUUUGAUAUAUGAAUUAUACUUAGUUAUAUAUACAAUGAAGAAGGCAUGCAUAAUAUUUCCAAAAGUCAUAUUAUUGGAAUAACACAGGAUGAAUAACAUGUAUUUACCAUUUUCAAUAUAAGUAUUUUAUUAAA